GGGGAUGACAGGCUUCGACGGGAGAGGCUGGUCCCGGAAUGCGAGCCGAGCGCGCACCGACCUCGUAAAAUCAGUGCAACCUUUAAGUGCCAACAACCGCACUUACGCUGCUAUGCCCCUCGCCGCCUAAGGCGAAAGCAUAACAGUCAGCAUCCUUUGAUGAUGCUGCGUCUGCCGUCCCCGCUCUCCACCCGGUGACGGAUCGGGCGAGACAAUGGUGGGGCGCUGCGUGUGACUCCGCUAAACACGCCCAAGACUAGCGGAUGGUUACAGGCUUACCCGCUUGCCGGGAUGCCUGUAAUGACGAAAAUCGGCAGGCUACGCUCGUAGAGUUCCGAGGGUCGAAUCUUUCGGACGCGGGUUCAAUUCCCGCCAUCUCCACAC
Molecule: transfer-messenger RNA, 384 nt
Filed under: Anaerolineales
Lineage: Bacteria; Bacillati; Chloroflexota; Anaerolineae
Also listed under: 1 other name
Description: OLB14 sp013388795 Standard tmRNA
Rfam family: transfer-messenger RNA
About the family: Bacterial tmRNA, also known as 10Sa RNA or SsrA, is named for its dual tRNA and mRNA-like properties. Its role is to liberate the mRNA from a stalled ribosome.
Source: RNAcentral